Bombyx mori (domestic silkworm) is the source of this 81-nucleotide non-coding RNA. Lineage: Eukaryota; Metazoa; Arthropoda; Insecta; Lepidoptera; Bombycidae. The record is from Rfam.
UUAACUCAAAUUCGUAUGGAGUUGGAUUGUCUGCGUUUGCCGCUAGUUUGCGCUGUUCCAACUGCAUACAAAUUUGAGUUA